GCUUAUACUGUGAAACUGCGAAUGGCUCAUUAAAUCAGUUAUAGUUUAUUUGAUGGUACCUCUCAAUCCGGAUACCCGAAAAAUUUCUAGACCAAAAACGGGCGUAAUUCCCACCUUCGGAAAGGAACUAAUUUUUAAAAUAAAAGGCCGACCGAGCUUUGCUCGACCCGGGGAGUCUCAUGAAAUUUUCGCAACGCCCACGGCCUUGUGCCCGCGCUGUUCCUCUCAUUUUUCCGCUCUAUCAUUUUUCGAUGGGAAGAUAGACGCCUACCGUGGUGGUAACGGGUGAAGGAUGAUUAUGCUACGAUUCAGAAGAGGAAACCUGAAAAACGACCACCACAUCCAAAGGACGCAGCAGGCCCGCAAAUUACCCCCCCCUGAUACGGGGAGGUAACGACAAUAAAUAACAAUGCCGGGCUUUUCCUGUUGGGUAGAUGGAAUGAUAACUAUCUAAAUCCCUUACCAAUGAUCCAAUGGAGGGGAAGUCGGGUGCCAGCACCCUCGGUAACUCCCCCUCCAAUAACGUAUAUUUAAUUUGAUGCAGUUAACUCGCUCGUAGAUGGAUUACGGGUGGGUUCUAUCGGUCCGCCUAAGGUGAGGACUGCUAUGCCCCUCCUUUCUGUCGACGACGGGCUUCGGGUCUAUGCUGUCGAGAACUCGGACUCUACGUGAUUACUAUCAAUAAAUUCAGUGCUCGCAGCCCGCUUACACCACAUUACUAUAGCAUGUAACAUGCGAUAAGACUCUCUAUAUCGUGUUGCUCUGAAGACCGGAUUAAGAUUAAGAUGGACAGUCGGGCGUCUUAUAUCUCAUGGAGAUGUGAUAUUCGAGGAUUAUGAAAGACGAUCUACUG
This 853-nucleotide ribosomal RNA is filed under the name Tetradesmus dimorphus. RNAcentral's name for it is "SSU rRNA". It matches the Rfam family "Eukaryotic small subunit ribosomal RNA", at positions 72 to 945 of the family's 1831-position model. The record is from RNAcentral. Lineage: Eukaryota; Viridiplantae; Chlorophyta; Chlorophyceae; Sphaeropleales; Scenedesmaceae.